AUAGAACGCGGGCGCAGGCAUAACACACACAUGUGGGGCUGUAGCACAGGGACCUUGUCUUGGGUGACGAGUGGCGGACGGGUGAGUAAUGUCUGGGGAUCUGCCCGAUAGAGGGGGAUAACCACUGGAAACGGUGGCUAAUACCGCAUAACGUCGCAAGACCAAAGAGGGGGACCUUCGGGCCUCUCACUAUCGGAUGAACCCAGAUGGGAUUAGCUAGUAGGCGGGGUAAUGGCCCACCUAGGCGACGAUCCCUAGCUGGUCUGAGAGGAUGACCAGCCACACUGGAACUGAGACACGGUCCAGACUCCUACGGGAGGCAGCAGUGGGGAAUAUUGCACAAUGGGCGCAAGCCUGAUGCAGCCAUGCCGCGUGUAUGAAGAAGGCCUUCGGGUUGUAAAGUACUUUCAGCGGGGAGGAAGGC
RNAcentral lists this ribosomal RNA (424 nucleotides) under Pantoea sp. BTRH11. Its description in RNAcentral is "bacterial SSU rRNA". It matches the Rfam family "Bacterial small subunit ribosomal RNA", at positions 31 to 452 of the family's 1533-position model. Lineage: Bacteria; Pseudomonadati; Pseudomonadota; Gammaproteobacteria; Enterobacterales; Erwiniaceae. The record is from RNAcentral.